This 305-nucleotide ribosomal RNA is filed under the name uncultured bacterium. Its description in RNAcentral is "bacterial SSU rRNA". It matches the Rfam family "Bacterial small subunit ribosomal RNA", at positions 334 to 631 of the family's 1533-position model. The record is from RNAcentral.
UUGGCCUACGGGACGCAGCAGUAGGGAAUUUUCGUCAAUGGGCGCAAGCCUGAACGAGCAAUGCCGCGUGAACGAGGAAGGUCUUCGGAUCGUAAAGUUCUGUUGAAGGGGAAAAAGAGCGGAGAGAGGAAAUGAACUCCGAUUGAUAUUACCCUUCGAGGAAGUCACGGCUAACUACGUGCCAGCAGCCGCGGUAAUACGUAGGUGGCGAGCGUUAUCCGGAUUUACUGGGUGUAAAGGGAGCGUAGACGGCAUAGCAAGUCUGAUGUGAAAGAUCGGGGCUCAACCCCGGGCCUGCAUUGGAA